AAACCGGAGCUAAUACCGGAUAACAUUUGGAACCGCAUGGUUCUAAAGUGAAAGAUGGUUUUGCUAUUCACUUAUAGAUGGACCCGCGCCGUAUUAGCUAGUUGGUAAGGUAACGGCUUACCAAGGCGACGAUACGUAGCCGACCUGAGAGGGUGAUCGGCCACACUGGAACUGAGACACGGUCCAG
Molecule: ribosomal RNA, 187 nt
Filed under: uncultured Staphylococcus sp.
Lineage: Bacteria; Bacillati; Bacillota; Bacilli; Caryophanales; Staphylococcaceae
Description: partial 16S ribosomal RNA
Rfam family: Bacterial small subunit ribosomal RNA
Source: RNAcentral